RNAcentral lists this ribosomal RNA (312 nucleotides) under Triticum aestivum (bread wheat). RNAcentral describes it as "partial small subunit ribosomal RNA". The record is from RNAcentral. Lineage: Eukaryota; Viridiplantae; Streptophyta; Magnoliopsida; Poales; Poaceae.
AUGAGCAUUUUCAAAAUCCCCUAUUCAGUGUGUGAUGACCUGACUCGUAUGAUACGCCAAUACUGGUGGGGGGUGGAGAACGGCAAAAGGAAAAUGGCAUGGAUGAGCUGGGACAGACUACGGUUACCUAAAUCCAUGGGAGGCAUGGGUUUUCGGGACAUGAGGGCUUUUAACCAGGCUUUGCUCGCCAAACAGGCCUGGAGGCUUAUCGACAACCCGGAUAGCUUAUGUGCGCGUCUGUUGAAAGCUAAAUACUACCCCUAUGGUCAGCUUCUCGAUACAGUAUUCCCGAACUCCGUGGCCAGCCCCGGC